UGCCAGACUCCUACGGGAGGCAGCAGUGAGGAAUAUUGGUCAAUGGACGAGAGUCUGAACCAGCCAAGUAGCGUGAAGGAUGACUGCCCUAUGGGUUGUAAACUUCUUUUAUAUGGGAAUAAAAUGUUCCACGUGUGGGAUUUUGUAUGUACCAUAUGAAUAAGGAUCGGCUAACUCCGUGCCAGCAGCCGCGGUAAUACGGAGGAUCCGAGCGUUAUCCGGAUUUAUUGGGUUUAAAGGGUGCGUAGGCGGAGUGUCAAGUCAGCGGUAAAAUUUCGGGGCUCAACCCCGUCGUGCCGUUGAAACUGACGCCCUUGAGUGAGUGAGAAGUAAGCGGAAUGCGUGGUGUAGCGGUGAAAUGCAUAGAUAUCACGCAGAACGCCGAUUGCGAAGGCAGCUUACCGGCGCUCAACUGACGCUGAGGCACGAAAGUGCGGGUAUCGAACAGGAUUAGAUACCCUCGUAUAA
This 468-nucleotide ribosomal RNA is filed under the name uncultured bacterium. RNAcentral's name for it is "bacterial SSU rRNA". It matches the Rfam family "Bacterial small subunit ribosomal RNA", at positions 329 to 795 of the family's 1533-position model. The record is from RNAcentral.